This 730-nucleotide ribosomal RNA is filed under the name uncultured bacterium. RNAcentral describes it as "bacterial SSU rRNA". It matches the Rfam family "Bacterial small subunit ribosomal RNA", at positions 90 to 836 of the family's 1533-position model. The record is from RNAcentral.
AGGGAGUGGCGGACGGGUGAGUAACACGUGGGUCAUCUCCCUUGAGGUGAGGAAUACCGGCGAGAAAUCGCCGACAAGACCGCAUAGGAUUGGCAACAAUCAAAGUUGUGCUUCGCGAGAAGUGCGACGCCCCAAGAUGAGCUCGCGCCCGAUUAGCUAGUUGGUGAGGUAAUGGCUCACCAAGGCGACCAUCGGUAGCUGGCCUGAGAGGAUGAUCAGCCACACUGGGAUUGAGAACGGCCCAGACUCCUACGGGGGGCAGCAGUGAGGAAUUUUCCGCAAUGGACGCAAGUCUGACGGAGCAACGCCGCGUGCAGGAUGACGGCCUUCGGGUUGUAAACUGCUUUUCUGAGAGACGAGCAAGGACGGUAUCUCAGGAAGAAGCCCCGGCUAACUACGUGCCAGCAGCCGCGGUAAUACGUAGGGGGCAAGCGUUGUCCGGAGUUACUGGGCGUAAAGCGCUCGCAGGCGGUGAUGUACGUAGAGGGUUCCAGCCAGCGGCUUAACCGCUGGAGUGCUCGCUAAACGGCAUGACUUGAGGGCUAGAGAGGGACAUGGAACUCCGGGUGGAGUGGUGAAAUGCGUAGAGAUCCGGAAGAACACCAAAGGCGAAGGCAGUGUCCUGGCUAGUACCUGACGCUAAGGAGCGAGAGCUAGGGGAGCGAACAGGAUUAGAUACCCUGGUAGUCCUAGCCGUAAACGAUGACCACUAGGCGUGGGAGGUAUCGAC